UACGGAGGGUGCAAGCGUUAAUCGGAAUUACUGGGCGUAAAGCGUGCGCAGGCGGUUAUGUAAGACAGAUGUGAAAUGCCCGGGCUUAACCUGGGAACUGCAUUUGUGACUGCAUGGCUAGAGUUUGGCAGAGGGGGGUAGAAUUCCACGUGUAGCAGUGAAAUGCGUAGAUAUGUGGAGGAACACCGAUGGCGAAGGCAGCCCCCUGGGUCAAGACUGGCGCUCAUGCACGAAAGCGUGGGGAUCAAACAGG
This 253-nucleotide ribosomal RNA is filed under the name uncultured bacterium. Its description in RNAcentral is "partial 16S ribosomal RNA". It matches the Rfam family "Bacterial small subunit ribosomal RNA", at positions 524 to 776 of the family's 1533-position model. The record is from RNAcentral.